GAUUAAGUUAUUAAGGGCGCACGGUGGAUGCCUUGGCACUAGAAGCCGAUGAAGGACGUUACUAACGACGAUAUGCUUUGGGGAGCUGUAAGUAAGCUUU
Molecule: ribosomal RNA, 100 nt
Filed under: Staphylococcus aureus
Lineage: Bacteria; Bacillati; Bacillota; Bacilli; Caryophanales; Staphylococcaceae
Description: partial 23S ribosomal RNA
Rfam family: Bacterial large subunit ribosomal RNA
Source: RNAcentral